GUCGGGAAUUUUGGGCAAUGGGCGAAAGCCUGACCCAGCAACGCCGCGUGAGGGAUGAAGUAUUUCGGUAUGUAAACCUCGAAAGAAUGGGAAGAAUAAAUGACGGUACCAUUUAUAAGCUCCGGCUAACUACGUGCCAGCAGCCGCGGUAAUACGUAGGGAGCAAGCGUUGUUCGGAUUUACUGGGCGUAAAGGGCGCGUAGGCGGCGCGGUAAGUCACUUGUGAAAUCUCUGAGCUUAACUCAGAACGGCCAAGUGAUACUGCUGUGCUAGAGUGCGGAAGAGGCAACCGGAAUUCUUGGUGUAGCGGUGAAAUGCGUAGAUAUCAGGAGGAACACCGGCGGUGUAGACGGCUUGCUAGACCAUAACUGACGCUGAGGCACGAAAGCGUGGGUAGCAAACA
This 403-nucleotide ribosomal RNA is filed under the name uncultured bacterium. RNAcentral's name for it is "bacterial SSU rRNA". It matches the Rfam family "Bacterial small subunit ribosomal RNA", at positions 354 to 774 of the family's 1533-position model. The record is from RNAcentral.